RNA transcript from Neocloeon triangulifer, 4356 nucleotides. RefSeq lists it as uncharacterized. The record is from RefSeq and is a predicted model, not a curated record. The transcript has 24 exons. Lineage: Eukaryota; Metazoa; Arthropoda; Insecta; Ephemeroptera; Baetidae.
GCUGUCGCGGUUAUUUAUUUUUGCACACAGAGUGGUCAAUUUCGGGAAAGUUAAGUGGAAAAUUCCAGGUUCGGGACGUGAAAGCGGAAUUAAAACGACUUGCGAAUCAAAGUGGAAUUACGUCCUCGUCGGAAUACACCAGAGGAGGGGAAGCCGGAGGAGGACUCGGUGGACGCAUCUCUCGCGAUUUCUAAUUGAAAAUGGCGAGCUGUGGACAGAGGCAUUACUGCACACCCUGGCGAUACGGGCGCAAUUUCUGCGUCGAGUGCAGCAUCGAUGCCCUGAAACUCGACCCUGAGGCUGUGUUGGAACCGCUGCUGGAAAAGUUGGAGCUUUACACAUUACGAGUGGACUGCGCUUCCAAAGUCGUCUCUGCACUGCUCGGUUCGGCAAAGUCGCUGACGUUCCCUGCCAGUUUGAUUCCAGUUGCUGCUACAGCGAUAGAAGUGGUGUUGAGCAAACUGCGUCCGCUGGACUCGAGAGACGUGUGCGCCGAGCUGCUCACCAAGUGCCUCAAAAUCAUGGAAGAUGAUCCUCCGCGAUGUCCGCGCGUGUCGUUGGCCAGAAUCGUUGUGUCCCAGAGCGUGGUUGCGGCGGGACGCGUGGAGCGCCUGCUGUCGGCCGUGCCAGAGCGUGUGGUGAAAUUGAUGAUUUGUCCGCGGAUUGAAGAAGAUCUCAGAUUGGAUUUGCUGCAAACGGUCGCGAUGCAGCAGCCGCUCCACCAACUGAUGGAAACGCUUCUCGAAGAAUUGCGGAUCGUUGCCAGCACCGACGGCGCCACUGCUGUACUUGACAUUUUGAGGCUAAUCCUAUUACAAACAGACGAUAAGCUAGAAAAAGACGAAAUUCUAAGCCCUCAUAUAUCUUGGCUUCACCAUAAACUGAGUCACUGCUUGAUGUCUCGAGAUGCCGUUUUGCAGUUUUCAGCAGUGAAUUUCACCAAGUGUCUGGUGUGUCAAAAUGAGUCACACGCCAACUCGGUCCUGCAGCAUGGAGAUCUGUGUGACGCAAUGAUGGACCCCCUUCUCAGCUACGACACUAAUGUAGUUAGAGCAACUUUGAGCAUGUUGUCCGAGUUGAGCACAAACGCCCAAAUUUACCAAGAUAAUAAGGCCAAAGUCUUCCUGAAAAGUAUCAUGGCGAAACUUGAAAAAACCUGUGAUGAUUUUGACAACAGUUUCUGCUGCGUCCGACUGCUGGGCCAACUUGUUCAAAACGCCACCAUUCACAAUUGUGACAUCCUCGAAGAUUGCGCCAAUGAGAUUUUCGAACUAACGUGGCAUCUGCUAUUGUCAGAAGACGAAACCGUGAGUCACGCUGCUGCCCAUUUGGCGUUGGAUUUGAUUUCUGCAAGGCAGAUUCCUGGCGUCAAAUGGAACGUGGACGUUCUGCAUCUGGCCCAGCUGGCCAUUGUCAAAGACGCCUGUCCCAAAGAGGACAGCGAUUUGUGCAAUUGUUUUACUCAAAGAGUGGCAAUUAGCCUUAUUUAUUGGUUCAAUGACGAUGAUGAGGAUAAAAUAAACGUUGAACUUGGAAAGUGGAUGACUGAACAGAUUGUAGAGCAUGCUGCGAAUUGUGCUCUUAACGCGGAAUGCAGCAGUGGACGGAAAAUUUUACGGCUCUCAAAAGCUGUAAAAACUUUGCUCUCUCCGAGGAAGUGGUCCGGAAAAUUUGAGUUUGCCACGCAAAUCGCCAAUGUUGGAUUCUUAGAUUAUUUUCUAAGCAACAAAGCACAUUUAUCAAUUGCUUGUGAGCCACUUUCGAUGGUUUUGCAAUUGCUCUGCGAAACUCAUUUGGGCGUCAGCCUAGAUUUGGAAAUGCUGAAUGAGCACCUGGUGCAGGGCUUUGCAUCUUCUUACGACUUUGAUUCUGCAAACAUGCAACUAUGCAUUCUUUACUGCUGGGCCCUCCACUCAUCGUCAGAUAACCCAGCUCUGGCUGAUGAAAUUCCAAACGUGGCCAAAUUCCUCAACUACUGCAACUACCGGUUCAUUUCAAACCACAUGGCCAAAGCUGCAGUUUUCGUCUUGGCUGUGGCUUCAAAGGGCCAUGCAGGCAAAUUACCUGAUUGUGUGGUUCGACUGGUCUCUCGCUGGGCAGCUAACCCUGAAAGUCUAUACACCGACCACGCCGUCUAUGUCUCUUGGGUCCUGCAGUUGCAGCACCAACAAAUUCCUCAAGAGUUUUUAAUCUCAACACUUCAACGCUGGCUUUCUAUGGAUCGUCGCGACUCAGAUGUUCUUUGCAGUUACGCGAAUGCAACCAUUUUUAUGGAGGUAAUGGUAGGCAGUGAUAACAUCACAGCGGCAUUAGGAGCCAUGGCCGCAUUACAUGAAGCCAUCGAGUGUGAGGAUGAGAAGUUACCUUUAACGGAAUUACUCUGGAUGAAACUUCCGAGCUACCUCAUGAAGAAAAGCGCACAAAAUUAUGAAGGAAAUUAUGGCCAUGCAUUGCUGUUGCGUCUUGCCAUCUCAAAUUUUCCUCAAGAAAACUGCGUCAUGCCUUUGGAGGAGUCGUGGUCGGUCUUGCCAGAAUUCAUCGCCCAACUUCUUUUGCAAAAACCGGGAGAUCGGAAGUGGUCCGUCAGUACACUGGAUUCUGCUUUCACAAUCGCCAACCACAUCCUUGCCUCUUCUGAUGAAGCAGACCUCAGCCAAAAGACAAAACUCAAAUUGUUCAUUAAAGUGACAAUUUUUCUUCCCUCUCUGGAGAAAUUCAUCAAUUCCGAGCCAAUAUCAAGUGCUCACAUUUCGGCUUUGGAGUUUGUGACUGCCUUAAUCAACGCACAUGAAAGCUGCCUCAAAAAAAUGAAUUCUCCUAAGGUCCUGGAGUGCAUCAGUCUUGACUCGAAAGUUUUGCUCCAAGCCCUCCAGGCCAAGUCUCAAAGCUGUGAGCUCAUUCGGGCUGUUAUUUGUCUGGUAGACGCUAUCAUUUUGAGUAGCCCUUUAUUGAACCACCUUGUGUCCAUCAAAGUGGAGUCCAGCGAGGCUUUGGCCCAGUUUGCUGCUGAAUUUUACAAACUAGUGCACUUGAGCAUAGCGUUGCACCCUGGUUCUGAAAUUGAGUCAUCGGGGUGGAGUUGCUUGAGGCAGUUGCUAUUGUGGGGAGUGGACAAGUGGCUGUGUCGGACGCCUUGGACACACCUGCUCUUGUGGACAGUGGAAUUACCCUCGAAAUCAGAGUUGGCCACGAGAAACAUGUUGCUUUACUUGAAAUCCUUUUUCAAAACUUUGGAUGAGAGUCAUAAAAUCAGAGUGCAAGGCAAGGAGAAACCCGUCGGAAGUGAAGCAAAAUUGACAAACAAAACUGCCAAACGCCUGGUCGCCUGUGCUUCAAGCUUAGCCUACCUCCAAAAUUGCAGGCGUGGAGUUUAUGAAGUCCUUAAACUAGUACUAAAACUUGAUUACGAGUUGCAAGAAGAAGUGAAGCUGUUGAUCAGCUCGAAAUUAUCCGAGCUCAAGUACGGAGGUUGAAUGCAGAACCGAGAUAUUCCACAUUUUUUAAAUAACUUGGUGUGAUCUGAUGAUCAGAUAAUUAACCUCCUUAGCGAACAUGCCCCAAAGUUUUUGAGAGAAAUACAACUGGAAGUUUUAAAAGCCAAAUCAUCCUGCUCCAUGAACACCAAGCUCAUGAGUGCUGGAACUAUUUAUUCAGUAAAAAUGAUCCCAUUUGUUUUUAAAAAUUUGCCGGUUCCAGUUCUCCCGAAUGUGAGUCCUGGGUAUUUUAAUCACAUGACAAACUUUAUUUAAAUUUGCAGUUUCUGAUCUCACAUUGGAAAGUUCUGAAGACUUUAUUCAUAAUUUUAUUGUAUUGCGGGAAGAAGCAAAUUAAAUUUAUCAUCAGCUAAAUCAUCAAAAGAAACAAGGAGGAAGCAGUAAAACUCAAGAGUGGUUGGGCUGAGAUCAAAAAUGGACCGGUCAAUUGACGAAUGAUCUUGCAGGACAGCAACAGCACAAUUUUACCUUGCUACCAGCCAUGACAUCCUUCGGUAAGUAAGAUGGAGGUUCUUGAGGCAGUUGUUACUGUGGGGAGUGAACAAGUGGCUCUGUCAGAUGCCACUUGUAAAUGGUUAUGUUAAUUGUGAUCUCCAAUAUCUCCAUGUUCGUAAAAAAAUAAAUGAUUUGGUUCUUUCAUAAAAGUCCUAAUAUUACAACACUCUUGUAAAAGAUCAAUUGAAUGGAUAUUUAAUUUGAGUUUGAUUGUUACAAUUUUAGCCUCCUUCUGUGUGCCUUAUAAUAAUUGUAAGAAGAGAGGGAUGUGGCAAUUUUAAGACAAUCUGUUGUUAUAAUAUCAAUAGAAAUAAUUUGAUUUGCCAUUUAGUAAAGGCUAUAAAAAAUGUUAAACUUUUCAAUUUUU